RNAcentral lists this ribosomal RNA (468 nucleotides) under uncultured bacterium. RNAcentral describes it as "partial 16S ribosomal RNA". It matches the Rfam family "Bacterial small subunit ribosomal RNA", at positions 28 to 507 of the family's 1533-position model. The record is from RNAcentral.
GACGAACGCUGGCGGCGUGCUUAACACAUGCAAGUCGAACGGAAAGGCCCUGCUUUUGUGGGGUGCUCGAGUGGCGAACGGGUGAGUAACACGUGAGUAACCUGCCCUUGACUUUGGGAUAUCUUCAGGAAACUGGGGCUAAUACCGGAUAGGAGCUCCUGCUGCAUGGUGGGGGUUGGAAAGUUUCGGCGGUUGGGGAUGGACUCGCGGCUUAUCAGCUUGUUGGUGGGGUAGUGGCUUACCAAGGCUUUGACGGGUAGCCGGCCUGAAAGGGUGACCGGCCACAUUGGGACUGAGAUACGGCCCAGACUCCUACGGGAGGCAGCAGUGGGGAAUAUUGCACAAUGGGCGGAAGCCUGAUGCAGCAACGCCGCGUGCGGGAUGACGGCCUUCGGGUUGUAAACCGCUUUCGCCUGUGACGAAGCGUGAGUGACGGUAAUGGGUAAAGAAGCACCGGCUAACUACGUG